This 301-nucleotide ribosomal RNA is filed under the name uncultured bacterium. RNAcentral's name for it is "partial 16S ribosomal RNA". It matches the Rfam family "Bacterial small subunit ribosomal RNA", at positions 509 to 807 of the family's 1533-position model. The record is from RNAcentral.
CAGCAUCCGCGGUAAUACGUAGGUGGCAAGCGUUGUCCGGAAUUAUUGGGCGUAAAGGGCUCGCAGGCGGUUUCUUAAGUCUGAUGUGAAAGCCCCCGGCUCAACCGGGGAGGGUCAUUGGAAACUGGGAAACUUGAGUGCAGAAGAGGAGGGUGGAAUUCCACGUGUAGCGGUGAAAUGCGUAGAGAUGUGGAGGAACACCAGUGGCGAAGGCGACUCUCUGGUCUGUAACUGACGCUGAGGAGCGAAAGCGUGGGGAGCGAACAGGAUUAGAUACCCCUGUAGUCCCUGUCUCUUAUAC